UGACCCAACCACCAUUAAACGUGUGGCAACCCGAUUUAUUUAUGAUAGGGACAUCGCGAUUGCUGCCAUGGGCCCCAUCCAGGGUUUGCCCGACUACAACUGGUUUAGACGCCGGACUUACUGGAACCGUUUUUAGAUUAUUUUGGUUUUUCUUUAUCAAUGGAUCACACCGCAAAAUACAUUUUGGCACUUUUGUACAAGCUGAGUUUCUGGGAAACAACCAAGGGUAACGUUCCUAUUCAUUUUGGUGUCUUCUUGGUUCUUUAAUAAGCAUGCCUGUCUUCGUGUUUC
This is a long non-coding RNA of Hibiscus syriacus, 291 nucleotides long. RefSeq lists it as uncharacterized. The transcript is spliced from 2 exons. Lineage: Eukaryota; Viridiplantae; Streptophyta; Magnoliopsida; Malvales; Malvaceae. The record is from RefSeq and is a predicted model, not a curated record.